CUCGUAGGUGGUUUGUCGCGUCGUUUGUGGAAUACCGCAGCUUAACUGCGGGGUUGCAGGCGAUACGGGCAUAACUUGAGUGCUGUAGGGGAGACUGGAAUUCCUGGUGUAGCGGCGGAAUGCGCAGAUAUCAGGAGGAACACCGAUGGCGAAGGCAGGUCUCUGGGCAGUAACUGACGCUGAGGAGCGAAAGCAUGGGGAGCGAACA
Molecule: ribosomal RNA, 208 nt
Filed under: uncultured bacterium
Lineage: Bacteria
Description: partial 16S ribosomal RNA
Rfam family: Bacterial small subunit ribosomal RNA
Source: RNAcentral